CUGGCUCAGGACGAACGCUGGCGGCAUGCCUAACACAUGCAAGUCGAACGAGGAUAGCAAGUAUCCGAGUGGCGAACGGGUGAGUAACACGUGAGCAACCUGCCUUACACAACGGGAUACCUACUGGAAACAGUAGUUAAUACGGUAUAAGACCACAGUACCGCAUGAUACAGUGGUAAAAGAUUUAUCGGUGUAAGAUGGGCUCGCGGCGCAUUAGCUAGUUGGAGAGGUAACGGCUCACCAAGGCGACGAUGCGUAGCCGACCUGAGAGGGUGAUCGGCCACAUUGGGACUGAGAUACGGCCCAGACUCCUACGGGAGGCAGCAGUGGGGAAUAUUGGGCAAUGGAGGAAACUCUUACCCAGCAAUUGGCCGCGUGAGUGAAGAAGGUCGUAAGAUUGUAAAGCUCUUUAGUCAGGGAAAAGAUAGUGAUUGAUCUGAAGAAUAAGCUCCGGCUAACUACGUGCCAGCAGCUGC
RNAcentral lists this ribosomal RNA (476 nucleotides) under uncultured bacterium. RNAcentral describes it as "bacterial SSU rRNA". It matches the Rfam family "Bacterial small subunit ribosomal RNA", at positions 19 to 518 of the family's 1533-position model. The record is from RNAcentral.